CCACUCACUGGUAAGUCGAAGGGUCAUAACCCCCGUGACUCCCUUGAACGCGCUCGUCCUCAGGAUAGGUCUCACCUAUAUGCGAAACAAAUAUAAAAAUGUUAUUUAAAGCAUACAACCAACAAUACGUAAUAACUUCUCAUACGAUGCUCAAUUUGGGUAUAUAAACAUACCACAGUGACCUACUCGACGUCACGGACGUCGAGGUAUUUUUAGAAAAAAUUGCCAACACAACACGUGCCCCCACACGCCCCCACGCGCGUCAUCUUCUUCCUCUAGUUGCCGGACUGGUUUCGCCGGCUCUGGAAAACUGGAGAUUUUUCAAUCUCCUUGUUUUCCGUCAAUUCUCAACCAUUUUUUACAAACUUUACAUCAAUAUGAAGCCCUAAGCAUGUUGAAUCAUGUUAUACUACUUUAAGGCUAAAAAACAUACGAAAUCUCACCAAAGAAAAUCCAAGAAAACCGGCCAACUUCGAACCCUAUGAUCCCGACGUCCAAAACCUUCAAAGUACUCCGAGCUUCCUUGGGACCUCACUAAGCUCCCUAUAAGCUUAGAAUUCCCUGAAAAUCAACAUUUCACGUGUGCAUAAACAGUGACAUCAAAUUGGGGUUCGGAUUUCACGUGAUUUCGAGGGUUUCCAGUUCUAAAAAUGGUGCCAUUCAACUCAGGAGGUUGCAAGGAUGAAGACACUCACCUUUUUGACGUCGAUCCGUGAAGAUUUGAGGGUUUAGUGCCUUGUCCAUACAGUUUCGAGAGGAAGAGAGAGAGAAACUGAGAGGGAAUAGAGAGAGAACACGGGGAGGUACGUGUCCCAUGUGUGUGUGGUCCACCCAAAACAAUCACCAUCCAAUUCCUUUAGGUCCCUAACCACACCAUUUGCAUACCAUUUAAUCUACUUAAUUAAAUUUUGCCAAGAACUUAGGAGAGUAUACAUUUAUUCGAAUAUCAUGUCACACAUACCUUAAUAGCCUUUAAGGGCAAUUCCGUCAUUUCACAUCCACGAUAAAUACAUUUCGGGACGGACUGUGACAGAUACAAAUACAAUUUUUUUAAUUUAAUAAUAUUUUCAAUGCCAAUUUUUAUUGAAAGAAUUGUUUUAUAUUAAUAAUCAUAUAUUCAACUACAUAUACAAAAAAAAUAAAUGUAAAAUUUUUACAUGUACUUGUUACAAUCCUAUGAUAUGUCUUAUAACACUAGUUUUUCAAGUCCACUUUGGCCAACUGUCAAGGAGUUCGAAUCUAGUGCUAUGAACAUUGAUCCACAAUUAUUAUCUUUAUUCUGCAAAAAAAUAAAAAGACAACUUAUAUCAAGCACAAUAUAAUUGUUAAUUGGUAAGAAACCCAAACAAUGAAAAUCUGAAAAUAAACAUAAGCUCUAAUUAAGAGGCUUGCAUAAUUUUAGCUCAAGGUGUGAACAUAGCAACCACCAAUCUAUACCAUAAAUAAUUCAAGUGAGUAGUUGAAGUGAAAAUUAAACACACCUCCAUUACAUUCUUCAAUUUUUUUUACCACCCUAAGAUAAGAGGAUGCUCAUAAAUCCAAAAAAUCUAAAAAAUAUAAGGAAAGUAAAACUAUAUGCAUAGUUUAACAAUUCUAAUGUUAAACUAUAUGCACAGUUGAACACCUCCAAAGAAAGGACUUCGAGAAUGAAAUAUUGCACCUAAUGCUUAAGCCUCAAUAAUUGUUGUCUCUCUAUCUACAUAGACAUAAGCAUUUGCAUAGUCCCCAACAAUCCACACAUGAAGCCAAAAAUUAACCAGUGAAGACUUGCAAAGAUAUACAAAAUUAACUCCAACAAGAGCAUGUAGUGCAAAAUUAGCAUUGCAUAUGCAGAGAAUGGAGUAAAUGCAGCCAAGAACUUACUUACAAUCAUCAAGUUUCUAGAUAUUCUUCUCAACCGCACUACCUCUAAAGCUAGCAUUUUAUGUAUAGUUUCUGCCUCUAAACCUUUCUACACACGUAUUCCUUUGCAAUUGAACUCUUGACAAAUUAUAUUAAGGAAAGCACCUUAAAAAAAGAUAAACACAUGAUUAGAUUAUGAACCUACUAAAUACAUAUAUUUCUGCAAAUAUAAAUUAACCAAACCAAUGCGAUAUACCAAAUCUAUCAUUAGCCCAAAAAUUAAUAUCAAAUGUUUACCAUGUCUGCAAGUCCUUUGCGCAAAUAUAACUAGAAACUGCAAAGCUUAAGAAUGAAACAUCACUCAAAAUUUAUAUUAAAAUUCUGAAACAUUAGUAUUUCGUCUCAGGGUGUUCCUGAAAGAAAAAUUGACAUGUACAACGUUGAAUCCAGAGAUCUCCUAUGGGGAUUUAGUACUUGAAACAAUGUAGAGAAUUGAAACAUCUCAUCACAAAACCAUUGAGCUUGACCAAAGACAAUCAUCCAGACAUACACACCCUAUUUGGCAUGGAUUUCCACCCACCAACAGUUAGAUUAAAGUCCCAGUUGAAAUUACUCUUAGUAAAUUGAUUAGUCAAUUAACUGGAACCCAUUUGAUUCUUCCUAGCUAAUGAAAUAGUAAUAAAGGGUUGUAAAACAAACAAAACAACUAGUAAUUACUAUUGAACCUGUAGAAAAAACCAGAAUUUUAAUCAUCAUACAUAACUAAAUGUGAUUCUUUAUACCAAUUUAUAAAAUCACCGACCAAUUUCUAGAACAGAAACAUUAUGAAUAUAUCAAUACGAUAAUUAGGAAAAUAUCAAACAAGAGGAUAAACUAAAAAAUUAAGAAAAUUAACUGAAAAAUUAAGCUGGAUGAAUCCUUUUUUUGCCAUCACUGGUGGACAGUCGCCCCCAUAAUUCAAUCGAUCUCAGAGAUCGAUUCCCAUUUCGACUGGCAAUGGCGAUUAUGCCAAAGCCGCCACCGCCUCUGAAAUCUCAUCCACCGAGACAUACGCCGGUGAGAUCUCUGAAGGAUGAUUUUGUGAAAACAUGUUCAUUUAAGCAACAUCUAUUAGCAUGCAAUUAACAAUUAAAGGCGGAAUCAUGCUAGCAUGCACUUAAAAACAAAACAUUAACCAAGAAAUUCAAAGCCUAGUAGAUUGGUGAACCAAGACUCAACUCAAAUCAAAGUGAGUUGAGAAAUUUAUACCUUUG
This 3095-nucleotide long non-coding RNA is filed under the name Malus domestica (apple). RNAcentral describes it as "long non-coding RNA (MDOM_LNC001821)". Lineage: Eukaryota; Viridiplantae; Streptophyta; Magnoliopsida; Rosales; Rosaceae. The record is from RNAcentral.